CCGACCUGAGAGGGUGAUCGGCCACACUGGGACUGAGACACGGCCCAGACUCCUACGGGAGGCAGCAGUAGGGAAUCUUCGGCAAUGGGGGCAACCCUGACCGAGCAACGCCGCGUGAGUGAAGAAGGUUUUCGGAUCGUAAAGCUCUGUUGUAAGUCAAGAACGGGUGUGAGAGUGGAAAGUUCACACUGUGACGGUAGCUUACCAGAAAGGGACGGCUAACUACGUGCCAGCAGCCGCGGUAAUACGUAGGUCCCGAGCGUUGUCCGGAUUUAUUGGGCGUAAAGCGAGCGCAGGCGGUUUGAUAAGUCUGAAGUUAAAGGCUGUGGCUCAACCAUAGUUCGCUUUGGAAACUGUCAAACUUGAGUGCAGAAGGGGAGAGUGGAAUUCCAUGUGUAGCGGUGAAAUGCGUAGAUAUAUGGAGGAACACCGGUGGCGAAAGCGGCUCUCUGGUCUGUAACUGACGCUGAGGCUCGAAAGCGUGGGGAGCGAACAGGAUUAGAUACCCUGGUAGUCCACGCCGUAAACGAUGAGUGCUAGGUGUUGGAUCCUUUCCGGGAUUCAGUGCCGCAGCUAACGCAUUAAGCACUCCGCCUGGGGAGUACGACCGCAAGGUUGAAACUCAAAGGAAUUGACGGGGGCCCGCACAAGCGGUGGAGCAUGUGGUUUAAUUCGAAGCAACGCGAAGAACCUUACCAGGUCUUGACAUCCCGAUGCUAUUUCUAGAGAUAGAAAGUUACUUCGGUACAUCGGUGACAGGUGGUGCAUGGUUGUCGUCAGCUCGUGUCGUGAGAUGUUGGGUUAAGUCCCGCAACGAGCGCAACCCUAUUGUUAGUUGCCAUCAUUCAGUUGGGCACUCUAGCGAGACUGCCGGUAAUAAACCGGAGGAAGGGGGGGAUGACGUCAAAUCAUCAUGCCCCUU
This 922-nucleotide ribosomal RNA is filed under the name Streptococcus thermophilus. RNAcentral describes it as "bacterial SSU rRNA". It matches the Rfam family "Bacterial small subunit ribosomal RNA", at positions 287 to 1203 of the family's 1533-position model. The record is from RNAcentral. Lineage: Bacteria; Bacillati; Bacillota; Bacilli; Lactobacillales; Streptococcaceae.